Molecule: ribosomal RNA, 1467 nt
Filed under: uncultured bacterium
Lineage: Bacteria
Description: 16S ribosomal RNA
Rfam family: Bacterial small subunit ribosomal RNA
Source: RNAcentral
AGAGUUUGAUCAUGGCUCAGGACGAACGCUGGCGGCGCGCCUAACACAUGCAAGUCGAACGAGGUUGGACUUCGGUUUAACCGAGUGGCGGACGGGUGAGUAACACGUGAGCAAUCUGCCUCUGAGAGUGGAAUACCAGCCGGAAACAGCUGUUAAUACCGCAUAACGUAUCGGGAGGGCAUCCUCCUGGUACCAAAGAUUUAUCGCUCAGAGAUGAGCUCGCGUCCGAUUAGAUAGUUGGCGGGGUAACGGCCCACCAAGUCGACGAUCGGUAGCCGGACUGAGGGGUUGAACGGCCACAUUGGGACUGAGACACGGCCCAGACUCCUACGGGAGGCAGCAGUGGGGGAUAUUGCACAAUGGGGGAAACCCUGAUGCAGCGACGCCGCGUGCAGGAAGACGGUCCUCUGGAUUGUAAACUGCUGUGUUCAGGGACGAUAAUGACGGUACCUGAAUAGAAAGCUCCGGCUAACUACGUGCCAGCAGCCGCGGUAAUACGUAGGGAGCGAGCGUUGUCCGGAAUUACUGGGUGUAAAGGGAGCGUAGGCGGGAGAGCAAGUUGGAUGUGAAAACUGUCGGCUCAACUGACAGACUGCAUUCAAAACUGUUUUUCUUGAGUGAAGUAGAGGCAGGCGGAAUUCCUAGUGUAGCGGUGAAAUGCGUAGAUAUUAGGAGGAACACCAGUGGCGAAGGCGGCCUGCUGGGCUUUUACUGACGCUGAGGCUCGAAAGUAUGGGGAGCAAACAGGAUUAGAUACCCUGGUAGUCCAUACUGUAAACGAUGAUUACUAGGUGUGGGGGACUGACCCCUUCCGUGCCGGAGUUAACACAAUAAGUAAUCCACCUGGGGAGUACGGCCGCAAGGUUGAAACUCAAAGGAAUUGACGGGGGCCCGCACAAGCAGUGGAGUAUGUGGUUUAAUUCGAAGCAACGCGAAGAACCUUACCAGGUCUUGACAUCGUGCGCAUAGGGUAGAGAUAUCUGAAGUCCUUCGGGACGCAUAGACAGGUGGUGCAUGGUUGUCGUCAGCUCGUGUCGUGAGAUGUUGGGUUAAGUCCCGCAACGAGCGCAACCCUUAUGAUUAGUUGCUACGCAAGAGCACUCUAAUGAGACUGCCGCUGAUAAAACGGAGGAAGGUGGGGAUGACGUCAAAUCAUCAUGCCCCUUAUGACCUGGGCUACACACGUACUACAAUGGUAAUAAACAGAGGGAAGCAACACCGCGAGGUGAAGCAGACCCCAAAAAGUUAUCUCAGUUCAGAUUGCAGGCUGCAACUCGCCUGCAUGAAGUCGGAAUUGCUAGUAAUCGCGAAUCAGCAUGUCGCGGUGAAUACGUUCCCGGGCCUUGUACACACCGCCCGUCACACCAUGGGAGUCGGUAACACCCGAAGUCAGUAGCCUAACCGCAAGGAGGGCGCUGCCGAAGGUGGGAUUGAUGACUGGGGUGAAGUCGUAACAAGGUAGCCGUA